UUCCUGCGCACAGUAGGUCUUCAGGACGCCUUAGCGCUUGCAGUUCACUCCAACAGGCCCGCCCAGCCCCACGACAGCUGUAAAGCAGGGCUCCAAGGGAGCUUUCUGUUUGGUUUCUAAUUGUGGAACAGAGUCGUUACCCAGAACGUGACACAUGGACAAGGUAAAAGAACACUUUCUAACGGAUUCUAAGCCUGUUCAAGGUCACUUUCACAUGAAACGUGCACAGUUAACAUCAUUUAUACCUGGAAUUUUGUCUUCCACCCGCUAAGGCGAUGUUGGAUAAAACAGGCCUGAAGCAUGGUUCCCUGAGUGAGUGGAAGGCCUGCCCGCCUGUGAACCAGCCACAGGAAGAUAGUAGCCCCUGGCCGCCUGAAAUGUGGCCAGUCCAGAUUGAGGUCCCUGUAGGUGUCAAAUGUGCACUGGGUUUCUAAGAUACAGCGUGAAAAGAAUGUAAACGAUUUCAUUUUGUAUUGAUUAUGUAUUGAAAUGAGAAUGUUUUGGAAAAUUUGAAAUCACAUACGUGCUUCUCAUCCUUUUGUUGCUUGAGGCUGGUCUUACCAGCUAAAUCUUCCGGGUUGCCUUUUUAAAUACAGUCAUGCGUGACUUAAUGAUGGGGACCCGGUCUGAGAAAUGCAUCUUGUCGUCGAAUGCACUCACACAAACCUAGAUGGAAUAGCCGCACACCUAGGCCUUGUGGCAUAGGCUGUUGCUUUGGGCUCCAAACCUGUACAGCAUGUGACUCUACAACAUACAAUUAAAUCAAGCGCAAGAGAAAAUGAUGCAAUCAAGAGACAUAAACACAAGGCGUGUGACACAGCCGGGCCCCAGCCUGGCAUACAGCAGACGAUUUUUUCAUGAGUAGAGUGUACACUAACGAUAAAAAGUAUAUACAGCAAAUACAUAAACGAGUACCACUGCCAUUUAUUAUCAUUAUCAAGCAUUAUGUGCUAUACAUGUGUGUGCUACAUUUUCAUACGACAGAACAGUAGGUUUGUUGACAUCAGCAUCACCACAAACACUUGGGUAAUGCGUUUCACUGGUCAUCACGGUGGCUGCCGUGUCACUAGGCGGUAGGAAUUUUUAGCUCUAUUAUGUCUUAUAGGACCACUGUCUUACAUGCGGUCUGUCGUUGACCAAAACGUGGUGAUGCAGCAUGUGACUAUAAUCUGUCUUCUAGGAAAGAGGACCGAGUCCUUCAUCUUGUAAUUGUGAAGGAAGAGGCCAGGUUGCACGUCUCAGGUAGGCCUACGGGUGUGCUGUGCAUCACUUAAUUUUUAUGGAAAGGGGAAGAAAAAGACCAGAUAAAAGACUGACAUUUUCAGAAAGCAAGUUCCAGUUCAGGGAGCCCUAUGUAAGUCGCACGAACAUGACAGUAACUGCUGGUAAUAAAGAUACCAAGCUAUCUAGAAAUUUGAGUUAUGUUUAAUGAAUCUGGUUAAAAAUAUAAUGAAACGUAGAACAUGUAAGCUUUUUGUUGAAAAUAUUUAAAAUAGGUUCUGGCUUUUAUCAUUGAAUCUCUAGAUACAGUAUACCUUUUUUUUUUUGAGAUUUCCAGUGAACUAGUAAGCUGAGGUUUUAGGGGAGUUUUGUUUCUGGUUGUUUAUAUUUGCUUUAUAUUUAUUUUUCAUUCCCUCGUUUAACCGAAGCCUGCUGCGGGGCCGGCAGUGUAGCUGGAGAGUGCCAUUAUGAAGGUGAACAACGCAGACACGGCCCUUAAUCCCUCAGAGAUAAUGAGUGUCAAUUCAGACAGCGAAAAAGUAGAUAAUGACCAUGGUAUACUGUAUUUUGCCUUUAAGCGGGUGCUGUACCUCUGUAAAUCCAACAAGUUAAUUGUUUUAAACCUAGAAUUUAUAUAUUCCUGCGGACACGUUAAGAAAGAGCCUUAUUAGGAUUUGACCGGGCUUAAAUAUUAGGAAAGAAUAAAAUAUACUUAAUUCAUGUAUUAAUUAUGAGAACCUAAAGAAUAAAAAUUUUAGGUUAGAAUAUUUCUUUACCUUUCAAUAUAAAAAAGAUGAAAAAAGGUUAUAAUAGCAUCUUAUUUAUAAUACUUCCUUUUAGCCCUUCAGCGACUUUUAGGUUCUCAGGAAUUUCAUAAUAGAAUGUAAAGGAGACAUUGAUUUAUGCCGCUAACAUAGUGUAAAAUUGCUGACUUAAAAAAAGUUAAAUUUAUUUUAGCAUAUUACAUAGUUGUUAAAUCAAUAUAUUUGAGUCUUUUAGGAAAGAAGUGAACAGAUCUUCUGGUAGUUACUACUGCCGAUGUUACAGUUCCACAGAGUUAGCCCCUCAGACGCCACCAGUGGAUUCUCUUACAGCUCCGUAGUCAGGAGUCCCGCUCAGGUCUCACGGGGCCAUAAUCCCGUCGUCUCCAGGUCUGGGCUGCUUCCGGAGGGGCUGGUCCGGGGAAGAAUCUCUGCUUUUUCUUUUUGCCCAUUCAGGCCAUUAACUAAAUUCAGUUCCUUGCUGUGGCCGUAUCGAGGUCCCUGUCGGCUGAGGGACGUUCCGGCUUCUAGAAGCCAUCGACGUUCCUUGGGCGCGGCCCUGUUUCUCCAUCUUCACAGGCAGCAGUGCUGAGUCGAGACCUUCCCAGCCUUCGGAUUCUCUCCCCUCUUCUGUCGUUUCACCGAUCCAAGCGCGGUUUUGAGGACGCCGAGUGGGUUGGGCCUGCCAGACAGUCCAGGACCAGCUCCCCGUCUCCGGGUCCGUAACCUAGCACAGCUGCUGACUCCCUCUUGCUGUGGCGAGGCCACAAUGCUCUCUCCUUUCUCAGCCUCGAUUUCUCCCCGCUCUGGUCUGGCCUCUGUCUUUGGAGCCCAGUGCUGCCCGCUCAUGGGCCUUCCACACUGUCCAGGUUCUGCUCGCCCCAGGGCACCCGUCUGAACUCCUUAGAAGGCACCAGGAUACAAGCUCCACAUACUCCCCGUGCCACUCCUGUGCCUGACGCCCACGCAGCCAUCAUCCCCGACAUCUUUCCGUUCCCUUUUGCUAUUAUGAUUUUGUUGAGAGAGGCCCAGGGCAUAUCCCGGCUCCCCCAACCUCACCCUCUCUCCUGAGAACCUGUGCUGCCGGUGCCUUCCAGCAGACCCUCGUCACCUCUGCACGGGAGAUGACCAUCAGUGGUCCCUACCACACAGUAUUCACACCCUGUAGAGUCUCGCCCCUUUGGACGUGGGCUCGACCUGAUGACCCCCAGUGAAUGGCGCAGGACCAUAGAGAUAGGGCAUCCUUUCUGGGACCUGCCAACGACCAGAGCGUGACCGUGGAAGCCGCGCUCUCCAGGGACCAGUUGAGGCAGGAGAAAUGUUUCCACGGGUCACACCUCGCCAGGAGGAGCUGCUGUGCAGGAACCGGGCUCACUGCGUGAUGACAAAAGGAACACAUAAUAUUUCAUAUGAGCACAGUGCUAUCAGCAACAGCAAAACAGAUCAUGGAAAUGCUCUCUAAAAAUCCGAGUGGUCAGAUGUUGAUGGGACUGGCUGUCUGUCACAGAAGGUAUGUGGGCGUUUUAGUCGUGUGAUUUUUCCUCAUCUGGCCCCUAAACAAAAGAACUGAACUAAUAAAAGAGGAAGAGGUGCUGGUGAAGUGUCUCCUCUCUGUCGACGUCUGGCACACAUCACCUCCAUCAUUUCCCACCGGUCCAGGCCCACGAUCAGUUCUGCUCAUAGCUGAGAAACGCUGACACAUGCCUUGGAACAGUAACUUGGCACAAGCCACCCAUAUGCAAGGUCUUGCCCCUUGCUUGUGCUCCAGUUGCAAUAAGGGGUGUUGUCAAGCCUUUGACCAAAACUCUGACCUUUCCCUUCUACUUAAUUUCUACGUGACCUGUUUCUCUCUCUGAAUCUCACCCAAUGUUCCCUAACGCCGGACUCCUGGAUGCUUCUGCAUCCUGUCCUGUUCGCCUGCGAACCCUGCCUUUGUGUUGCCUGUGGCUGCUCCCUGCUGAUGAUUAUGUCCCAUGUUCAGCUGCAGCUGCUCCACGUUGGGCUCUUCCCGCCGUCAGUUAUCUGACUGCUUAGGUCUCUAUUUGUGAUAAAACCCAAACAUGCCACAUAUGGAUUCAGAAUUACCCCCAUUUUCCUACUUGGGGAUCCAGACUGUUUUACCUCCUCUUUUCCUUCGGCCAGCCCAGUUUUACUGUCCAGCCUUCCCUGUGUCUCUGGUCCGUUGCUUAUGGGAAGGAAGAAGGCGAACAUGGGCAAAGGGAUGAGAAAUAGCAGCAGUGACAAAUCGGAGCCUUGGAGGGGUCUCUGCUGUGGCACUGUCUUGGAUGGAUCCUUCUUUUCCUCGGUCUCCUUCUGAUUGUACGGAGAAGGGAUCUGUGAAGACUUUUGCUUAACUUGAAGCUCACAGGUAGUGAUUUGGGCAGUUAUUUUGAAUUUAUCCAUAUGUCAGUAGUGUGGUCGUGAGCUUCUUUCUUGUUAAUUCUUAAUUUGCCUUUCUUUUUUCGCUGCUGUAAAAUUGUCCCUCUCCAAAACAGAACACUCUUUUUUUUUUUUUUUCCUCAUAAGCAAAGCACCCUCAUUAAUUUCUCACUUAGUGAUGAUUCAUUAAUCGUGGAAGGGCAUGCGAGCUGCAAUAAAAGCAACUCCUUUAAUUUAAUUUAAUUUAACAAACGUUUAUUGACUGUUUAAUGUGCAGGCCAAAGUGCUAAGCAUGAGACCCAAAGAAACCCAGUUUGGGUGGUAAUGUAAAUUAUUUUUCAUUGGGAUAAGUGUUUAAUAAACUUUUCUGAAUCAGA
Long non-coding RNA from Pteropus alecto (black flying fox), 4738 nucleotides. RefSeq lists it as uncharacterized. The transcript has 5 exons. NCBI's taxonomy places the organism in Eukaryota, Metazoa, Chordata, Mammalia, Chiroptera, Pteropodidae. The record is from RefSeq and is a predicted model, not a curated record.